UAUCCAAAAGUCAGCUUGGGCUCUACCUUAGCCACCUUAGAGAUACUCCACUCCUGGCAUGGUCAAAUUAGAACCUUAUUUUGAUUUUUCCUUAUCUAUAUCUCAGUCAUAAUACCAGAGUACCUCCUGUUCCUAAAGUCAAAUUCCUAAGGAUCAUUCCUGAUUUCCCUCUUCAUUUUGCUCCUCUCUACUCCCAAAUUAAACUGCCAAUGCUGUCUCUACCACCUACAAGGUAUGACUUAGAUUUAUCUAUUUUGUAUAUCACAUCUAUUGGAGUUCCCCUUGUGGCUCAGUGGUAAUGAACCCUGCUAGUAACCAUGAGGAUGCAGGUUUGAUCCCUGGCCUCCCUCAGUGGGUUAAAGAUCUGGCGUUGCUGUGGCUGUGGUGUGGCUCACAGACGUGGCUCAGCUCCCAUGUUGCUCUGGCUGUGGCAUGGGCUGGCAGCUGCAGCCCCAUUUCUGGAAAUGGAAGGGGUGAAUGAAGGGAUGUGAGAGUUCCUCUGACGUUGGACAGUAUAGACCUGCUUAUUACAGAGGACUCUGUUCUGAGCUGGACCCAAGGUCUGACCUGUGACAUUAACACUGUGAAUCUCACAGGGGUUCCUCAAGCACCUUCUCCUUGAAGUCACUGAAUUUGGGAGGAUGUAUUCCGGGGAAGCAAUGUGCCCCCUGCUCUCAGCUCUACUUCUACUUUAGACUCUGUAGAGCCUGCCCCCUGCCUGCCACACCAGCAGCUUUCCCACCAUGCUCCCUGUUCUCAGGGUCACUUACCUGGCCACGCUGGCUUCCAUUUAAUCUCUUGUAUGAACAGGGCAAUUCCAACCUUAGGGACCUUGUGCUAGAUGUUCUCUCUGCCUAGAAUGAUUUUUCCGGAGGCUCGGCAGGGCCAGUUCCUUAGUCUGUAUUUUCAUCUUCUCCUAGACAUCUGUGCUGAUUACCUGGCCUAAAGGAACCUCUCCCACGAUCCAUCACAACAUGAUUGUUGUUUCAUUCUUACGCAUUUUUGCUUUUUAGGGCUGCAGCCGCAGCAUAUGGAAGUUCCGAGGUGAGGGGCUGUUGCAUCAGAGCUGCAGCUGCCGGCCUACACCACAGCCACAGCGAUGUGGAAUCUGACCUGUGUCUGCUACCUAUUACCACAGCUCAUGGCAAUGCUGGAUCCUUCACCCACUGAGUGAGGCCAGGGUUUGAACUGGCAUCCUCAUGGAUCCUAGCUGGGAUUGUUAACUGCUGAGCCAUGAAGGGAACUCCAAAUCUAUUAUCUUUUUAAUUUGUGUUUGGCUAUGCUUACUCUAUGACACUGUGCUCUAGAAGCCACGAUCCAAAAGGCAGGGCUUGGCCUGAUCCCCCUGGUAUCCAGCACAAUGUCUGGCAGGGGUUAAGUACACACCAUAAACACGUGGCAUCCAUAACAACACAUCAUGUGAUUAAACAUUAGCAGCUGGCACUGCCUGUUUAAUAAAAAGUGUUAUUAACUAUUCAGAUUUCUCUUUAUAGUUUUCCUAUUUUAAUAAAAUGUCCUCAUUAUCUUCUUUUUUUUUAAACUGAAACCCAUGCCUUUCUCUUUCCACAUUCAUAUGGCAUAGAACCCACUGCAAGAGAAAAGGUAAUUUAUUUGAGCAAAUGCGGGUCCAAUUCACUUUCAGAAAAUCUGUGCUUAUUAUGCACAUCAAAAAAGCAUAGGCAUUCUCAUUUUCUCCAUUUCAGACCACUUUUUUUUUUUCAUCUUAUAUUUGGAGGAAGACAGGAUCAUAAUCCAUGGCAUUUGAGAUUCUUCAUCUCUCAAAGCAUGUUUCCCACCCAUGAUUUUCUCAUGUGUUCCCUCCCUGAUACACCUGUCUGCCAGUGUCCAACUGCUCCUUCAAAAUCCUCCUCAAAUCCUGAUGCUUCUGUGAAGCCCUCUGUCCACUUUUUGUGCAUUUUAUACCUGGACCCUUUAUGCCUGUGAAUGGUAGUUAGCUGGUCACAUGGCUAUGCAGUAGGACAUAUUUUGUGGUGAACCUAAAUGAUUUUCUUUCCCAGUAAUUCCUCUUUCACUCAUAAAAACUAAACUUAAAGUAGAGACUGUGGCCUCAGGGAAUGAACAUGGCAGUUAAAGAACAGAAGGAAAAUACUAGAAAAUUGUUCCUUGGUUUUCUAAAAUGGCUUUUGAAACUCUGCGUAGACAGUAAUUUGAGACCAAAAGGUUUUGCAACUCAAAAAUCUAAGUGUAUAAACACAUGAGCAAAAUCAGGAAUAAGCGAAUGUGCUUUGAGAUAUUCAGGGACAGAUGAAGAGUCUUGAAUGUUCAGAGCAUGGUGUUCCCAGGGUGGGUACACUGGCUCCAACUUGUUCUUCCCAUUCAGUUUGAGUUCACAGAUGGAUAAGACCACAUCUUAUCCACCACCCUACUGUCAGGGCCUCGGAUGAAAUCUAGCAUCGAGCACAGACUUGGUAAGUAUGUUAAACUGAUCUGAAUGAUUAUAGCAUCUAGAUUAUUUACUUAUCAAAAAUCUUCCAGCAGAAAAUAAACAUUUAAAUACUAUCCUGGAAAGAAACUGGAAGGUAAUACAUGUUUACUGUCUAAGAACCUGUCCUGAAACUGAGUUGAAAGGAAUUGGUAUGCUCUGUAUUUUACCUUCAGGGUAAAUCAGUUUCAUUAACUUGUGGGCCCCACCAUCCAAUUCUGGUAUAUACAACAAUUUGUAAGCAUUUUACCUAACAGCUGUUAAUGUACACAUUCUAAUAUGCUUCCUUCAGACAUCUGUGUUAUUUCCUUGUCUAGGAGGGAAGGUUACAACCAUCUUUUUAUGUUUUUGGAAGCUUUGGUGGCACACAAAUAAAAUGCAUGAAGAAAACAGGCUAUUUAUUACUCCUCCUCUCAACCCAUGCACUCCUUUAAAUGCCAGAAAAUCCAAAAGUUCAUGGACUAGACUUAAUUAAAGACUCUUAGCCCCCAUGGUACAAGAUUAUUUCCAAUCACAUCAAAUCCACUUCAUAAAUAUGAGUAUUUCCCUCUAUGAACAUUUAUAGUAUUUUAUGGUUUUAUAUUAGAACUCACCUAUCAUGAAGACUGUUUUAUAAUGACCAUCACACCACCAGUGAGAGUAAUAAUAAUAUUACUCAUUAUAGUUUAUUUUUUAAAACCAUCUAUUUUUCUUGGGGGAAUUGCAUAAACUGAGUUCAUUUUGUUAAAAAUUUCAUACGGCUUAUGAACUAGGGUCCCAGGUGAUUUGAGCAAUUUCCUUCCCUUUCACGAGAUAAUUUUCCUUCUUCUACACCAAAGUAACAAUGCUAUGAAUGGCCUAACAUUUAUGAAUAAACAUGUGUGUUCAAUUUUUCUUUUUAUGCCAAGAAAUAAAACAAUGGGCCACAUCUUAAUUUUAAAAAUGGUUAUAUUUUAUUUUCAACAGCAUGCUGCUAUCUCCUGGUAGAGUAUAUUCUUCUUACUUGCAAUAUGCAAUGGAAAAUUUGCAGUCCGUGGACACUACCCAGCGCAUACAGGGAAGUCUAUUGACAAUUCUUCAUUUUCAAAAAUCCUAAAAAAUCCUUACUUGGGGGAGUUCCCAUAGUGGCACAGUGGAAAUGAAUCUGAGUAGUAUCCAGGAGGAUUUGGGUUGAUCCCUGGCAGUGCUCAGUGGGUUGGGGAUCUGGCAUUGCCGUGAGCUGUGGCAUAGGUUGCAGACAUGGCCCAGAUCCUGAGUGGCUGUGGCUGUGGUGUAGGCUGGCAGCUGUAGUUCUGAUUCAACCCAUAGCCUGGGAACUUCUGUAUGCUGCAGGUGCAUCCCUAAAACAACAACAACAACAAAAUCCUUACCUGGACUGUUUAAGUUCCUGGGUUGGCAUUCACGCUAAUUGUGGAUCAAACUCAAAAUGAAUGUCCACUUCAAAGGACUCACCCCUGUGAUUUGUGAGAGGGUGGUACUUGGUCUGAACAACUUCCACAGACAACUGUGAUAGCCAUCCUAGCGUGCUCUUGUCAAGUGGGCAAUGAUAUUUUCCUCUAGUCAGAAAAGAUCUCAGAGUUCCCCCAGUGGUGCAGUGGGUUAAGAAUCCAAUCGCAGAGGCUCAGGUCACUGCAGAGGUGUGAGUUUGAUCCCAGGCUCCUUGCAGUGCAUCAAAGGAUCAACACUGCCACAUCCAUGGCAUAGAUUGCAGCUAUGGCUCAGAUUUGAUUCCUGGCCCACCUGAGAAGUUCCAUAUGACAUGGGUAGGGCCAUUAAAAAAGCAAAAAAGGAAAGUUUUGUCUGGAUAUACGCCUAAGAGUGGGAUUACUAGGACAUAUGUUAGUUCUAUGUAUAGUUUUCUAAAGUACCUCCAUAUACUGUUUUCUGUAGUGGUUGUAAAAACUUAUAUUCCCACCAACAGUGCAGGAGGGUUCCCUUUUCUCCACACCCCCUCCAGCAUUUGUUAUUUGUGGACUUAUUAAUGAUGGCCAUUCUGACUGGUGUGAACAGAACACUGUAAACCAGCUAAAAUGGAAAAAAAUAUAUAAAUAUAUAAGUAAAAAAGCAAAAAAAAAAAAAAGUAUCACCAUUUGGAAGAGCCUCUGGGGAACUUGCUUCAGAAAUGCCCUUUUCCACUCUCUGAUUUUGCCACUGUCUUGCCUAUCCAUUGCCUAUCACAGGGUCUAAGCUUUUCCCAAGAUGCAGCUGGUCCCUGUCAUUCAGUCUCCCUGCCAGAGUAAGAGAUGGCAGAUGGCUACAGUGAGGAUGAGAGACAGCUCGCCUACACAGAAGACAUCACCAGCUGAUCUGGAUCUGGGAGGGACCGUAAUUCCUGAGAGCUUGAGAGGUUACUAGAGUCCAAGAGGGAGAAUGUGGUGGAUGGAAACAAAAAUCAGGAAACAAAUUGAAACAGGAGGAUAGUUUAAAAUGCAAGUUACUGGAGGUCACUGAAUUAAUGUUUUCACUUUAAUGAUUAAAAUAAUAAUGAUAACAGCUGAGGGAGAGGAAACGACUUGCUCAGGGGCAGCACACAGAUGGCGGCGGUGCUGAGACAAGGGCCUUCUGGUGACUAACGUAGGGUUCUUUACAUUUUUCCACAAUUUUAUCCUGGUUUGAAAAUAUUUCAUAUUUUCCAGUUAACUAUAAAAAAGAUAUUGUACAGAAAUUACCAUCCUGGUUAUUUCUGAAAUAAUUUCCAGCAUGUUAUCAAAAAAGGAAAACGACUGAACAAUUCAUUCUUGCAUUGCUUUGUGGAGGAAAGAAGCUUAAAUGCUGUAUUUUAAUACAAAAGAUUGCCCAAAGAGGUGUUGCAUUAUACAGUAAGUGCCACAAGAAGAUUAACUACCAUGCAGCCUGCACCUCGAGCAGGGAAACUCAAUGAUUUCUAUAUAAAACUCAUAAAUGAAAGUGUUCAUUUAUUCAUGAUAUUCUAACAUAUUCGUUCUGUUUUUCUAAGACAAGCAAUGCAUGGCCUUUUAGUUUUAUGCCAUUACUUAAAAUAUUUGAAGAAAAUUGUUCAUCAAUCUCUGAUUCUAUUAUUACACUCAAGAGUAGGUUAAUUACUAUCUCCUGGGGUCAUUUAUAGCAGGAAAUAUUUAAUGGAUUGCUACCAGGGCAUGUGAUCAUGGCAGAGAAGACCUGACUUACAGUUGCUAAAAGAUGACUGAUGUGAAUUAUUUACAGAACACAGGGUG
RNAcentral lists this long non-coding RNA (5616 nucleotides) under Sus scrofa (pig). RNAcentral's name for it is "lncRNA (ENSSSCG00005007470.1)". The record is from RNAcentral. Lineage: Eukaryota; Metazoa; Chordata; Mammalia; Artiodactyla; Suidae.